CCUACGGGGGGCUGCAGUGAGGAAUAUUGCGCAAUGGGGGAAACCCUGACGCAGCGACGCCGCGUGGAUGAUGAAGGCCUUCGGGUCGUAAAAUCCUGUCAGGUGGAAAGAAAUGCAUGGUGGCUAAUAUCCAUCAUGUUUGACGGUACCACCGAAGGAAGCACCGGCUAACUCCGUGCCAGCAGCCGCGGUAAUACGGAGGGAGCAAGCGUUGUUCGGAAUUACUGGGGCUAACGCGCGCGUAGGAUGUGAAAGCCCAUGGCUCAAUCAUGGACGUGCAUUUGAAACUGGCAGGCGUGAGUAGUGGAGGGGGUGGUGGAAUUCCCGGUGUAGAGGUGAAAUUCGUAGAUAUCGGGAGGAAUACCGGUGGCGAAGGCGACCACCUGGCCACAUACUGACGCUGAGGCGCGAAAGCGUGGGGAGCAAACAGGAUUAGAUACCCUAGUAGUC
Molecule: ribosomal RNA, 450 nt
Filed under: uncultured bacterium
Lineage: Bacteria
Description: partial 16S ribosomal RNA
Rfam family: Bacterial small subunit ribosomal RNA
Source: RNAcentral